AACGAACGCUGGCGGCAUGCCUAACACAUGCAAGUCGAACGAGACCUUCGGGUCUAGUUGCGCACGGGUGCGUAACGCGUGGGAAUCUACCCUCAGGUUCGGAAUAACUCAGAGAAAUUUGAGCUAAUACCGGAUGAUGACGUAAGUCCAAAGAUUUAUCGCCUGAGGAUGAGCCCGCUUAGGCUUAGGUAGUUGGUGAGGUAAAGGCUCACCACGCCUACGAUCCUUAGCUGGUCUGAGAGGAUGGGCAGCCACACUGGGACGAGGACACGGUCCAGAAUCUUACGGGAGGGAGCAGAGGGGAAUAUUGGAAAAUGGGGGGAAGGCUGAUCCAGCAAGGGCGCGUGAGUGAUGAAGGUCUUAGAGUAGUAAAGCUCGUUUACCCGGGAUGAUAAUGACAGUACCGGAAGAAUAAGCACCGGCUAACUCCGUG
RNAcentral lists this ribosomal RNA (433 nucleotides) under uncultured bacterium. Its description in RNAcentral is "partial 16S ribosomal RNA". It matches the Rfam family "Bacterial small subunit ribosomal RNA", at positions 29 to 507 of the family's 1533-position model. The record is from RNAcentral.